RNAcentral lists this long non-coding RNA (844 nucleotides) under Androctonus crassicauda. Lineage: Eukaryota; Metazoa; Arthropoda; Arachnida; Scorpiones; Buthidae. The record is from RNAcentral.
UGGAGUGAUUAUAACAUUUAUAGUUUUGUAUUUUAAUUUAUAAAUAAAAGAAAUAAAAUUAUCUUUUAUUUUCAAAUUUUGUCUAAAUAGGUGUGUUGUGUAUUAUGUAUUUCCCAUUGUUGGUAUUUUCCAAAGGAAGCGCAUCAGUUAAAAAUGGUGGCAAUUGAAAGACUACCUUGGGCAGCUGAAACUGUAGCUAUGCUGCUGUGUAAUAAUUAUUAAAUCCAUGAACAGUAAUAAUAUAAUGACAACAUCAUAGCUUAACUAUAACAAUCAGCUCUGUCAGAACCAAUGAUUCUCUUCAUUUGUAUAUGAUCCAGUAAUGGAUGAAGUUGUUAAAAAAACUGCCAAGGACAUAUGAGUCUAUAUAUAAAAGAAAAAAUACUAUUUUCUCAAGUCUAAGGAAUAAGAAGGACCCAGUGAGCAUCAUGAAGAGGUCAAGGGUAUACUUAAUUCCAUUACAUAAUAACUGUGUACAAACAUCUGAGGAAUAUGUGGGUUGGAACAAGAGAUGUCUGUGCAUUAGGACUGAAGAGCAUAAAAUGCCAUAAAAAUGGGUAAACAAAAUACUGUACUAGCUAUUAAGGUAUAUGAAGAUGACAUCACUAUAUUUUGAGACAGUGCAAAUAUAAUAAGGCCCAUCACAAACAAUGUAAGCGGAAUACUGCUGAAGCAAUAGAAAUAAAUAGAAAAAAGAAGAAUGAAAGCAAAUGUAAUUAAUGGUAAUCAUCUGGAAAAUCUCCCAAUGUCAUGGCACUGGUGUAUCAAAGUUAACAAAGCUGCUGCUGUGUUACAAUGUUCAGAAGAUCAUAUAUGAAUAACAAAAUUUUUUAAUUUCUGCCAC